Molecule: long non-coding RNA, 960 nt
Organism: Musa acuminata AAA Group (dessert banana)
Lineage: Eukaryota; Viridiplantae; Streptophyta; Magnoliopsida; Zingiberales; Musaceae
Exons: 3
Source: RefSeq, a predicted model, not a curated record
UAUAUAUAUACCAGUCUACACCGCUGAAAAUAAGGACAAAAUCAAUGGCUACACCGCUGUACCAGCCUAACCCGAUUCGUCCGCCCGCGCACGUUAGCCGUUUUCUCUCUCCUCCUCUUUGUACCCUACAAUUAGUGAUGGGUUUUUGAAUCUGAUUGACGAGAGGGAUCCGCGGGGUGGAGGUGUGAAACCCUGGCCUACAAUUCUUGAGCCGGGGGGGAAUCGCUGGUGGGAGAUUGGAGAUGUAGUGGGAGGGAGGGAGAAUCUACCGAAGGAGUAAAGAUUGGAAGGACGAUGUCGUGGUUGUCGAGCCAGGAGAGGCACUCGAAACCGUAUCUACGGCUCUACUCGUCCUUCGGUUGGCGCUUUCUCAUCUGCCAUGCCGAUUUCCUCACUUUAGCUUUUCCAUUUUGGUUCUGGUGCUGGCUUAGAGAAUUAGUCACCGCAAUCGGUCAGCAUUUUCAUAGAUAAAGAUUUGGCAGCCCUAACUUCUCCAAUUUGAACUGCACAUCUAGUUGGAUAUCUCAUUGUAAUCUUGCAUUCUGGACUACUACGUCUGCCAAAAUUGUUUUAGAUGGAGCAUGACAUUAACAGGUUUCUAGAAAGCAUAUUGUGUCUCCUGCUUGCUAUGUAGGUUAAGCAAUUCUUGGAGAUGAGAACAAAAGCUGAAGAGGGAGAGAGAGAGAGGCAUCUCACUUUAUACUUGCAUGGGGACAUUGAUGGUCAGUUCCACCUACACUCUAUGCCCCCAGAAGAUGGAUGGUAGACCUACCAGAGGCAUGUGUUUCAUACAUGGCAGACCAGGAUUCAUUCAUACUCUCCCUCAUUCUUCAUAGUUACUUGAGAGUGAUAUCUUGAAGCUUGUCUCAUCGUGAUCUCUUAAUGCAUCUUCCUAGUUAAUUUUUUGAUCCUGGAAGCAUAAAAUGUCAUUCUAAAUCGGAAUUACUCUAUGACAUCUGA